AGAGGGUGAAACUCCCGUCCGCCUGGUAGAAUGAGUCUUUGUCAACGAGUCGAGUUGUUUGGGAUUGCAGCUCUAAUUUGGUGGUAAAUUCCAUCUAAAGCUAAAUAUUGGUGGGAGACCGAUAGCGUACAAGUACCGUGAGGGAAAGAUGCAAAGGAACUUUGAAAAGAGAGUUAAAGAGUACCUGAAAUUGCUGAAACGGAAGCGAAGGGAAACCAGUGUUUGUCGGUUCAUAACUUCCUUGGCCACUUGUGGUUUGGGCGCUGUGAGCUUGCGUGGGUUUGGGUUAGUUGAUCCCUUUGGAAGAGCGCAGUCAGAGUUGAU
RNAcentral lists this ribosomal RNA (324 nucleotides) under Pseudo-nitzschia fraudulenta. RNAcentral describes it as "LSU rRNA". It matches the Rfam family "Eukaryotic large subunit ribosomal RNA", at positions 207 to 540 of the family's 3401-position model. Lineage: Eukaryota; Bacillariophyta; Bacillariophyceae; Bacillariales; Bacillariaceae. The record is from RNAcentral.